UAAGAAGGGGGCUAGCGUUGCUAGGAAUCACUGGGCGUAAAGCGCACGUAGGCGGCUUCUUAAGUCAGGGGUGAAAUCCUGGGGCUCAACCCCAGUACUGCCCUUGAUACUGAGGAGCUUGAGUCCGGGAGAGGUGAGAGGAACUCCGAGUGUAGAGGUGAAAUUCGUAGAUAUUCGGAAGAACACCAGUGGCGAAGGCGGCUCACUGGCCCGGUACUGACGCUGAGGUGCGAAAGCGUGGGGAGCAAACAGG
This 253-nucleotide ribosomal RNA is filed under the name uncultured bacterium. Its description in RNAcentral is "partial 16S ribosomal RNA". It matches the Rfam family "Bacterial small subunit ribosomal RNA", at positions 524 to 776 of the family's 1533-position model. The record is from RNAcentral.